GGGAUAUUGGACAAUGGGGGGAACCCUGAUCCAGCGACGCCGCGUGAGCGAAGAAGUAUUUCGGUAUGUAACGCUCUGUCAGCAGGGAAGAAAUCAUGACGGUACCUGACCAAGAAGCCCCGGCUAACUACGUGCCAGCAGCCGUGGUAAUACGUAGGGGGCAAGCGUUAUCCGGAAUUACUGGGUGUAAAGGGAGCGUAGACGGCAGCGCAAGUCUGGAGUGAAAUGCCGGGGCCCAACCCCGGAACUGCUUUGCAAACUGUGCGGCUCGAGUGCGGGAGAGGUAGGCGGAAUUCCUAGUGUAGCGGUGAAAUGCGUAGAUAUUAGGAGGAACACCAGUGGCGAAGGCGGCUUACUGGACCGUAACUGACGUUGAGGCUCGAAAGCGUGGGGAGCAAAC
This 400-nucleotide ribosomal RNA is filed under the name uncultured bacterium. RNAcentral describes it as "bacterial SSU rRNA". It matches the Rfam family "Bacterial small subunit ribosomal RNA", at positions 358 to 773 of the family's 1533-position model. The record is from RNAcentral.